RNAcentral lists this ribosomal RNA (515 nucleotides) under Bifidobacterium longum subsp. suillum. RNAcentral's name for it is "bacterial SSU rRNA". It matches the Rfam family "Bacterial small subunit ribosomal RNA", at positions 168 to 698 of the family's 1533-position model. Lineage: Bacteria; Bacillati; Actinomycetota; Actinomycetes; Bifidobacteriales; Bifidobacteriaceae. The record is from RNAcentral.
GCCGGAUGUUCCAGUUGAUCGCAUGGUCUUCUGGGAAAGCUUUCGCGGUAUGGGAUGGGGUCGCGUCCUAUCAGCUUGACGGCGGGGUAACGGCCCACCGUGGCUUCGACGGGUAGCCGGCCUGAGAGGGCGACCGGCCACAUUGGGACUGAGAUACGGCCCAGACUCCUACGGGAGGCAGCAGUGGGGAAUAUUGCACAAUGGGCGCAAGCCUGAUGCAGCGACGCCGCGUGAGGGAUGGAGGCCUUCGGGUUGUAAACCUCUUUUAUCGGGGAGCAAGCGAGAGUGAGUUUACCCGUUGAAUAAGCACCGGCUAACUACGUGCCAGCAGCCGCGGUAAUACGUAGGGUGCAAGCGUUAUCCGGAAUUAUUGGGCGUAAAGGGCUCGUAGGCGGUUCGUCGCGUCCGGUGUGAAAGUCCAUCGCUUAACGGUGGAUCCGCGCCGGGUACGGGCGGGCUUGAGUGCGGUAGGGGAGACUGGAAUUCCCGGUGUAACGGUGGAAUGUGUAGAUAUC